GAUGAAGAACGUAGCGAAAUGCGAUACGUAGUGUGAAUUGCAGAAUUCAGUGAAUCAUCGAAUCUUUGAACGCACAUUGCGCCCAUUAGUAUUCUAGUGGGCAUGCCUGUUCGAGCGUCAUUUCAACCCUUAAGCCCCUGUUGCUUAGCGUUGGGAGCCUACAGCCUGCUGUAGUUCCUCAAAGUUAGUGGCGGAGUCAGUUCACACUCUAGACGUAGUAAAAUCUUUAUCUCGCCUAUAGAUGAGCUGGCGCCUUGCCGUAAAAACCCCUAAUCUUUUACAAGGUUGACCUCGGAUCAGGUAGGAAUACCCGCUGAACUUAAGCAUAUCAAUAAGCGGAGGA
RNAcentral lists this unclassified non-coding RNA (343 nucleotides) under soil metagenome. Its description in RNAcentral is "partial contains 5.8S ribosomal RNA, internal transcribed spacer 2, and large subunit ribosomal RNA". The stretch from base 1 to 120 matches the Rfam family "5.8S ribosomal RNA", at positions 35 to 154 of the family's 154-position model. The record is from RNAcentral.